This is a long non-coding RNA of Magnolia sinica, 1119 nucleotides long. RefSeq lists it as uncharacterized. The transcript is spliced from 8 exons. The record is from RefSeq and is a predicted model, not a curated record. NCBI's taxonomy places the organism in Eukaryota, Viridiplantae, Streptophyta, Magnoliopsida, Magnoliales, Magnoliaceae.
GAGCCCGCGAGGUUUUAUUAUCAUUCUCGCGGGCUCUAGCCUUUCUCUACCCAUCUCUCCCUCCCUCUCUCUUUCUCCAUCUCAUGCUACAGAAAUCUGAAAAGGAGAUGGUUUCUCCAUACAGUGAAGAAAGAAUAUCAUGCUAACAGAAUCUGCCGAAGCUCGACCAGCAACUCCUCCUCCACUCUCCUUCUUACUUUGGUUACCAAAUGAUCCCUUAGGGGUCGAUUAGAUGCCUGUAGGUUUGGAUCUUCAGAGGUUGCUCAGGUGGCAGAUCCUCAGGCAAAAGUCUAUGCAAUUCCUAAGGCAUCGGUUCUGCAACUAGCUCCACACACACAACACCGACUUAAAGGGCUUGAAGCUAGAAUCAUGAAGUGCAAUGGCUUACUCUUCUCAACUGAUUCACUACAUCUCUUCGUAUCAUUAGAUUUUGCCUCCAUCAGCCCAUGCAGUAACAUCUACUGCAUCAAAGUUUCUGCUGAAAUGGUUGUUUCAGUAUGAACAUGAGCACAGACAAUGGUCGGCCGCUAUCUCUUUGGGACUGAUAUCAAGUUGUUUACAUACAACGGAUUCAAGACAAAUUCCAAAUCAUCAUCGGACUUCUUGAGCUUGUAGAUGACAAUGAUUGGUAUACGGAUUCCAUAUUCCUUCUGGGACAUUCAUCAUGACAUCGACCUCACUUGUAUAUUUCCAGAAGACAGGAGCAUCUGGCCAGAAGUUUCAGCUACAUAUUAUCCUUUCCUCCAUCUUCUACAAAUGAUCAAUUUCCUGACAUAAAUGCAGUGUGGUUUAGGAUAUGAUAAGGACAUAUCUUCAUCCUUCAACCUCAUUAUCGUUGUCUUGAAGACUAUAAUUUUGUUUGUGCCUCUGCCUGCAAGUUUUACAAGGCCAUUAUGUUGAUUGGGAAGGAGGGCAGUAAGGGCUAUUGGAAAGGCAAUCUAGCACAGGAAAGGAUGGGGAGAGCUCUGUUGUUGGGUGACUGGAAGUAGGGGCUUGAGCUGGUGACCCACCAUCAAGUCCAAUUUCAUUCUUUUUCUUUUCUUUUCUUUCACUAUAUGAUACUUUCUAUUGUUGCUUGAAUAUACAUUGCAGCCAUUUUAUUUUUAUUUUUUUCCGGAA